This 356-nucleotide ribosomal RNA is filed under the name uncultured bacterium. RNAcentral's name for it is "bacterial SSU rRNA". It matches the Rfam family "Bacterial small subunit ribosomal RNA", at positions 1 to 334 of the family's 1533-position model. The record is from RNAcentral.
GUGAGUAGUUCAGAGUUUGAUCCUGGCUCAGGACGAACGCUGGCGGCGUGCCUAACACAUGCAAGUCGAACGAGAAUCGCUUGAACAGAGGCUUCGGCCAACGGGAUGGUGAGGAAAGUGGCGAACGGGUGAGUAACGCGUGAGGAACCUGCCUCUCAGUGGGGGACAACAGUUGGAAACGACUGCUAAUACCGCAUAAUGUAACGAGACCGCAUGAUCUUGUUACCAAAGAUUUAUUGCUGAGAGAUGGCCUCGCGUCUGAUUAGCUAGUUGGUGGGGUAACGGCCCACCAAGGCGACGAUCAGUAGCCGGUCUGAGAGGAUGAACGGCCACAUUGGGACUGAGAUACGGCCCAG